GACGAACCGUCCUAACGUUGUUCGGAAUCACUGGGCUUAAAGCGCGCGUAGGCGGCCCAGUAAGUCCGUUGUAAAAGUCAAAGGCUCAACCUUUGAAAGCCGAUGGAUACUGCUGGGCUAGAGUCCGGAAGAGGCGAGUGGAAUUCCUGGUGUAGCGGUGGAAUGCGCAGAUAUCGCUUGGAACGCCAACGGUGAAAACAGCUCGCUGGGGGUGUGCUGACGCUGAGACACGAAAGCCAGGGGAGCGAACGGG
Molecule: ribosomal RNA, 253 nt
Filed under: uncultured bacterium
Lineage: Bacteria
Description: partial 16S ribosomal RNA
Rfam family: Bacterial small subunit ribosomal RNA
Source: RNAcentral